GAGCUGCUUGCAAGUCCAAGCUCCUAGGUGAUGCAAGCUCCAAGGGGAGAGGGAGGUCUGGUCGGCAUGCGACGGUAGCGUGGUCGACACUGGAGUGGGAGGUCUGGCCAGCGUGCGAUGGCAGCGUGGUCGCCGAUGUCGCCUAGGCAGCAGCAAGCUCCUAGGUGAUGCAUGCAGCGACCCUACGCGUCAAGCUGACCAACCAGGCGAUGGCACCACUUCUUCUCUCGCGUUCAAUGUGUCGCCGUGGAGGCCGGCACCGUCAUGGACGUCGACGCCUCACCACCGGGAGCAUGUAGGGGAGAAGUACAAGAACGGGUGUGUUGAGAUUUUUUUCAAUGUUUCAGAUAGUUUAGUUUGAUGUUUCUUUGGGUUGGAUCGAAUGUUGCAAUUGGAUUUUAGAUGGUGUUCCAUAACUUUGCUCCUUGAUGCAAACCACCAAUGGAAAUUUGUUGUUUCACAUGUGUGAAUGAAAUGUUUCGGUCAUGACUUGAAUAUGUUUCAGCAUUUUAACAAUGUGAAACAUUUUUUUCUAGUGGUGAAACAUUUUCGUAGUAGCGCUGAAAGAGCGCCCAAUUUUUUAUUUUUUGAUGUUUC
RNAcentral lists this small RNA (597 nucleotides) under Oryza sativa Japonica Group (Japanese rice). RNAcentral's name for it is "sRNA Os08g0229200". Lineage: Eukaryota; Viridiplantae; Streptophyta; Magnoliopsida; Poales; Poaceae. The record is from RNAcentral.